This 395-nucleotide long non-coding RNA is filed under the name Citrus sinensis (sweet orange). RNAcentral describes it as "long non-coding RNA (CSIN_LNC002511)". The record is from RNAcentral. Lineage: Eukaryota; Viridiplantae; Streptophyta; Magnoliopsida; Sapindales; Rutaceae.
CCGUGUGCUCUAUCAAAACAUAUUCGUGUCAUGUUGAGUUGUAUGGACACGUGCCGUGCCACGUGAUGUUCGGCCCGUUGGCCAUCUUUGGCAAUAGCCAUUAUUGCCUCAUGCAAUUAUGUAAAUGUGUUUUAACAGUUCUUUUUUUUUUUUUUUUUUUUUUUUUUUUUUUUUUUUUUUUUUUUUUUUUUUUUGUUUUCUUGUGCAAUUUUUUUCAUAAAAUUGAGGAAAAAAAAUUAGAAGUAUCAUGUAUCACUAAUAAGGAAAAUUAUAAACUCUCGUCUCAAAUAUAAGUUAGAAGCACUUAAAUUCAAAUUCAAAUGGCUAUGACACUUACCCUCUUCAAAUUUAAAAAUAUUGCGCAUAACUCACUUAUACUGACAAUUUAAGUUAUU